RNAcentral lists this ribosomal RNA (452 nucleotides) under uncultured bacterium. RNAcentral's name for it is "partial 16S ribosomal RNA". It matches the Rfam family "Bacterial small subunit ribosomal RNA", at positions 28 to 507 of the family's 1533-position model. The record is from RNAcentral.
GAUGAACGCUGGCGGCGUGCCUAACACAUGCAAGUCGAGCGAUUUACUUCGGUAAAGAACGGCGGACGGGUGAGUAACGCGUGGGUAACCUGCCCUGUACACACGGAUAACAUACCGAAAGGUAUGCUAAUACGAGAUAAUAUGCUUUUAUCGCAUGGUAGAAGUAUCAAAGCUUUUGCGGUACAGGAUGGACCCGCGUCUGAUUAGCUAGUUGGUGAGGUAACGGCUCACCAAGGCGACGAUCAGUAGCCGACCUGAGAGGGUGAUCGGCCACAUUGGAACUGAGACACGGUCCAAACUCCUACGGGAGGCAGCAGUGGGGAAUAUUGCACAAUGGGCGAAAGCCUGAUGCAGCAACGCCGCGUGAGCGAUGAAGGCCUUCGGGUCGUAAAGCUCUGUCCUCAAGGAAGAUAAUGACGGUACUUGAGGAGGAAGCCCCGGCUAACUACGUG